This 377-nucleotide ribosomal RNA is filed under the name uncultured organism. RNAcentral's name for it is "partial 16S ribosomal RNA". It matches the Rfam family "Bacterial small subunit ribosomal RNA", at positions 527 to 898 of the family's 1533-position model. The record is from RNAcentral.
GUAAGUGGCAAGCGUUGUCCGGAAUUAUUGGGCGUAAAGCGCGCGCAGGCGGUCCUUUAAGUCUGAUGUGAAAGCCCACGGGCUCAACCGUGGAGGGUCAUUGGAAACUGGGGGACUUGAGUACAGAAGAGGAAAGCGGAAUUCCAAGUGUAGCGGUGAAAUGCGUAGAGAUUUGGAGGAACACCAGUGGCGAAGGCGGCUUUCUGGUCUGUAACUGACGCUGAGGCGCGAAAGCGUGGGGAGCAAACAGGGAUUAGAUACCCUGGUAGUCCCACGCCGUAAACGAUGAGUGCUAAGUGUUAGGGGGUUUCCGCCCCUUAGUGCCUGCAGCUAACGCAUUAAGCACUCCGCCUGGGGAGUACGGCCGCAAGGCUGAA